Long non-coding RNA from Phyllostomus discolor (pale spear-nosed bat), 125 nucleotides. RefSeq lists it as uncharacterized. The transcript is spliced from 3 exons. Lineage: Eukaryota; Metazoa; Chordata; Mammalia; Chiroptera; Phyllostomidae. The record is from RefSeq and is a predicted model, not a curated record.
AGGAAAGGAGAAAGCCUCAGAAAGAAUGCUAAAGAAAAUGGAGGCAAGUCAACUAUCAGAUAUGGAAUACAAAGCAAUGUUUAUCAGGAAGCUCACUGAGCUCACAGAUCUCAAAGACAACUAAC